Molecule: microRNA precursor, 79 nt
Filed under: Medicago truncatula (barrel medic)
Lineage: Eukaryota; Viridiplantae; Streptophyta; Magnoliopsida; Fabales; Fabaceae
Description: MIR5269 microRNA precursor family
Rfam family: MIR5269 microRNA precursor family
Source: Rfam by way of RNAcentral
UUGGGUGAAAUCAAUGUGGAUCCUACGCUUUGGAAAUGGGUCCCACAUAAAGUGGUGGGACCCACAUGGAUUCCACCAA